GGAGAACAGGAAAAACAGGAAAUCAGAUGGAAGACAGGUGGAGUUACCUGCAGCCCAGCAGAAGAGCGGAGCUCCAGGAUCCACAUGUGACUCCACCUAUGAGACCAUGACUCCAGCCCCCACAGACCAGGACCACAUCUACUCCACCCUCACCGACAUGCAGAACAUGUCACAUGUGCGAUUCAGUCAGACGGACACAAUUUCCUGCAAAUCAGUAACAUCCCAGUAAAAUCCUGAAAUGUUUCCAUCACAAACUCAUCCACAGAUACGUCUGUGAUGUUUAUAACUGUAUAACUGUAAACAUCAGUUAUAAUAUUUAUCAUUUUCAAGUUUUUUUUAUUUGUGUAUGUUUGUUAUCACUUCAGUUUAUAAGCCCCGCCUCUCUGAGCUGUGGGUGUAAAUGAAGGCUAACCCCUGAACUUUGUCCUCUGUUGCUGCCGUCCCUACAGACGCUGGAUUUCACAUCACCAACACGUCUUAAAGUUGACUUGAGGGGAAAAAAAGGCUGAAAAAAAGAGGUGGAGCAGCAGCUGACCGGGUUAUUUUCAGCAGAACAUCAUAUCCUCAACGUCCUCACAGAUCCUGGAGGAAUCUCUGUGCGCAGGGUCGACUCUGGGAUGAAAUCAGUGCAUCAGGACUUCCAGACAUCAGCGUAUGCGAGCAGCUCGGCGUGCCGCCCACACCUGCAGGUUACAGCUUCAUCACUCAGAGAAGAAGCCACAUGAUGAUGGACACAUGAUGGAGAAACUAUCUCCUCUGGACUAAAACUGAUCUGAGGUCAGAGAGAACCUCGUGUACACAUCUGUCUGGAGCUGCUGUGUCUCAUGUCUUCAGCGUGUCUCUGCGUCAUCACUGAUUCUGGAUCUGUUCACAGCUCCGCCCACCUGGACCACACCCACCUCAGAUUACUUUGUGUCUCUGGUUGUGUGUGUGGUUGUGAUCGUCGUGCUGUCGGCUGGUUUCCUGCUGCUCCUCUACAGAUGGAUGGAGAACAGGAAAAACAGGAAAUCAGAUGGAAGACAGGUGGAGGUGAAGGAGUCAUCAAUCCAGACACCAAGGUAUUUAUAUUCAUGAACUAUCUCUAUGACAACAACAUUAACCUUGCAUGACAGAUUAGUGCCACUAGAGGGCAGCAAACACCAGCUGCAUACAUACAUGUGCUGUAACUGGAUGUGUUAAAUAUUUUCAGUUACCUGCAGCCCAGCAGAAGAGCGGAGCUCCAGGAUCCACAUGUGACUCCACCUAUGAGACCAUGACUCCAGCCCCCACAGACCAGGACCACAUCUACUCCACCCUCACCGACACACAGCACACACUUUGCUAAUGCUCAGCAAACCACAGGAUGAUAUUU
Molecule: long non-coding RNA, 1351 nt
Organism: Astatotilapia calliptera (eastern happy)
Lineage: Eukaryota; Metazoa; Chordata; Actinopteri; Cichliformes; Cichlidae
Source: Ensembl